RNAcentral lists this ribosomal RNA (484 nucleotides) under uncultured bacterium. RNAcentral's name for it is "partial 16S ribosomal RNA". It matches the Rfam family "Bacterial small subunit ribosomal RNA", at positions 30 to 507 of the family's 1533-position model. The record is from RNAcentral.
AUUGAACGCUGGCGGCAGGCCUAACACAUGCAAGUCGAGCGGAUGAAGGGAGCUUGCUCCUGGAUUCAGCGGCGGACGGGUGAGUAAUGCCUAGGAAUCUGCCUGGUCGUGGGGGAUAACGUCCGGAAACGGGCGCUAAUACCGCAUACGCCCUGAGGGAGAAAGUGGGGGAUCUUCGGACCUCACGCUAUUAGAUGAGCCUAGGUCGGAUUAGCUAGUUGGUGGGGUAAAGGCCUACCAAGGCGACGAUCCGUAACUGGUCUGAGAGGAUGAUCAGUCACACUGGAACUGAGACACGGUCCAGACUCCUACGGGAGGCAGCAGUGGGGAAUAUUGGACAAUGGGCGAAAGCCUGAUCCAGCCAUGCCGCGUGUGUGAAGAAGGUCUUCGGAUUGUAAAGCACUUUAAGUUGGGAGGAAGUGCAUUAAGUUAAUACCUUGCUUUUUUGACGUUACCAACAGAAUAAGCACCGGCUAACUUCGUG